RNAcentral lists this ribosomal RNA (791 nucleotides) under uncultured bacterium. RNAcentral's name for it is "bacterial SSU rRNA". It matches the Rfam family "Bacterial small subunit ribosomal RNA", at positions 8 to 845 of the family's 1533-position model. The record is from RNAcentral.
AGAGUUUGAUCAUGGCUCAGAAUGAACGCUGGCGGCAUGCCUAACACAUGCAAGUCGAACGAAGGCUUCGGCCUUAGUGGCGCACGGGUGCGUAACGCGUGGGAAUCUGCCCUCAGGUUCAGAAUAACAGCGAGAAAUUGCUGCUAAUACCGGAUGAUAUCGCGAGAUCAAAGAUUUAUCGCCUGAGGAUGAGCCCGCGUAGGAUUAGCUAGUUGGUGUGGUAAAGGCGCACCAAGGCGACGAUCCUUAGCUGGUCUGAGAGGAUGAUCAGCCACACUGGGACUGAGACACGGCCCAGACUCCUACGGGAGGCAGCAGUGGGGAAUAUUGGACAAUGGGCGAAAGCCUGAUCCAGCAAUGCCGCGUGAGUGAUGAAGGCCUUAGGGUUGUAAAGCUCUUUUACCCGGGAUGAUAAUGACAGUACCGGGAGAAUAAGCUCCGGCUAACUCCGUGCCAGCAGCCGCGGUAAUACGGAGGGAGCUAGCGUUAUUCGGAAUUACUGGGCGUAAAGCGCACGUAGGCGGCUUUGUAAGUUAGAGGUGAAAGCCUGGAGCUCAACUCCAGAAUUGCCUUUAAGACUGCAUCGCUUAAAUCCAGGAGAGGUGAGUGGAAUUCCGAGUGUAGAGGUGAAAUUCGUAGAUAUUCGGAAGAACACCAGUGGCGAAGGCGGCUCACUGGACUGGUAUUGACGCUGAGGUGCGAAAGCGUGNGGAGCAAACAGGAUUAGAUACCCUGGUAGUCCACGCCGUANACGAUGAUAACUAGCUGUCGGGGCUCUUAGAGCUUCGCUG